UCUCUCUCUCUCUCAUCCUGCAGAUAGCUGUUUCUUUUGUUAUAUAUAUGACACACUUGUUAACUAGCUCAAUAACUCUGCAUUUGGUUGUUUUCCAUAACCACAGUGUGUGUAUAUAGAUAUCUACAUAUAUAAGUCUAUAUGUAAAUAUAUCUAUAUAGCUAAGAUAUCAUGUACGGCUGUUUCUAGAAGAUAUCCCAUCUGUGCUAUAAUUGUAUUCAGAUUUUUGUUCUCUUGUAUACGUUUCUUAUUGCUGCAUGUAAUGUUUGUAUCAUGCAUCGUUUUAAAAUCCCACUUCAAUAGCUAUCGGUAUUUUUGUGUCUUCAUUAUUUUUUAUGGUGUGGAAUAUAAAAUGUUAUUGCCCAAAGCAUUUGACUCGAUGGUGCUAAUUAGAUGCAAGUUAUUAAUAUUUUAUGGAUCCCACAAACCCACUUCAACAAAUACUGGCCCCAAAUCGACACCCUACAAUCCACUAUAUACCUUGACCCUUCCACCCCACUAAGCUAGCAGCCACCUUAAUUAGUUUAAUUUUUCUCCAUAGGAAAUUACCUAAAAAAUAGUCUCUAGCCGUUUCUUUAAUUUGGUUGUAAACAUUAGUGUAGUUAUGUUGGUUAGAGCAAUGUGUACUCCUUCCUUUAUAUUUAAGAUCGAAUUCCUCAUCUCGUAGUUUAGAGUGAAUCAAAAAUCGCUUUGUAAAAGAAAAUAAAUUUGGUUUGAUGGAGCCGACAUGGGACCAUAUUUGGUAUUCUUUAAUUCAAGUACUUUUGCCCCUUUUAUUAGGUCAAGGGUAGCAGCUAGCCCUGCUCAAAAGGCGAAAAGACCGCUACAAACUCUUUAGAUUUGGCCACAUUUCUUCAACAACUUGACUUGCUUUCGGGUUCAUGGUGAAAGAACAUCUGCUCUUUUAUGUUAUUAGUCUUUCUUUAUCAACAAAAGAAGAGUGGAAAUUCGAACUUGAAGCAGGAGAGCUAAUCGACGGGUCAUCUACUAGUUCCAAGCAGUCUUCGAUCUAGAGAGAGAUCGAUCACAGAUAUGCAAUCUUCCUCCCUCUCUCUUGUGAUUGUUGGUUUACGGUUCGAAUAUCUGGUUUUACUUUUGAUUGAUUAACAGUGUUGAGAAUGAAUCUCACUUGGAGAAGGACCUUGCACGGGCUUAUAAGUAAUUUGAGUUACUCUCUAUAUUAUUGGCAAUUGAUUUUAUGGUGGAACUCAACUUUCUUCAUGGUAUCAGAGCAGAUUGUUCCAUGUGUAAAGCCAAAUGGCCACAAGUGCUACAUGUCAUCCCAUUUGGGUUGUUCAGGUGUUAGACUUGAAAAUUUGUCACACGUGGAGAGACCUUGUAUGGGCUAGUGGAUUUUUGUGAACAAGAGUUGGCCACGAAUGCCGCUGCUUGCAGCCUGUUUCCGGCAUCUCUAUCUCCGCGGAGACUGCUCAGCAGCAGCGGUCGGAAGAACCAUACUUACCAAAAGCUGCCCCAGGAGCCGCUUACGCUCUUCGUCAUCAAAUUGGAUGGUUCUAGCUUUGAGAUUCAAGUUUCAAAGACGGCGACCGUGGCCGAACUGAACGAGGCAGUGAAAGAUGUUUUCAGUCAGUCGUCGAUAGAUGAAAUGAUUUCAUGGUCACAUGUGUGGGGUAAUUUUUGCUUAUGCUAUGAAGGUCAGAAGCUACUCGAUUACAAGGCAUUAAUCCGACCUUUUGGAAUCAAAGAUGGCGAUAAGAUAUUUUUUGUUCGACAUGCUUCAAUAAUUAAGUAUGAGCGGGAAAAGCGGCGGAUAGGGUUGUGGAGGAAAAGGAUAUGUGACAUCUCUACUUAUGAACAGCUGGUGAAGUUGUGAUGAUGAUGAAUGACAAUCACACAUGAAUAAUUUGUAUACAUGCAAUAUUAGGGUUUGUAGACGAAUGCUUCCACUUGAGAAAUCCGAUUCUUUCAUUUUUUUUGUUAAGGCAUGUACGUUGUUUAUAGUUGUAAAUAGCAAGAGUCACAGGGAACUUGUUAGUUAAAAUCAUGUACAGUCCAAUGAACAGCCAGCAGAAAAUUGUAAAU
Malus domestica (apple) is the source of this 2043-nucleotide RNA transcript. RefSeq lists it as uncharacterized. Lineage: Eukaryota; Viridiplantae; Streptophyta; Magnoliopsida; Rosales; Rosaceae. The record is from RefSeq and is a predicted model, not a curated record.